This 520-nucleotide unclassified non-coding RNA is filed under the name uncultured Glomus. Its description in RNAcentral is "SSU rRNA". It matches the Rfam family "Eukaryotic small subunit ribosomal RNA", at positions 569 to 1089 of the family's 1831-position model. Lineage: Eukaryota; Fungi; Glomeromycota; Glomeromycetes; Glomerales; Glomeraceae. The record is from RNAcentral.
AGCAGCCGCGGUAAUUCCAGCUCCAAUAGCGUAUAUUAAAGUUGUUGCAGUUAAAAAGCUCGUAGUUGAAUUUCGGGAUCAAAGGAUCGGUCAUGCCUUGGUAUGUACUGGUUUUAUUGGUUCUCACCUUCUAAAGAACCAUAAUGUCAUUCAUUUGAUGUUAUGGGGAAUUAGGACUGUUACCUUGAAAAAAUUAGAGUGUUUAAAGCAGGCUCACGCUUGAAUACAUUAGCAUGGAAUAAUGAAAUAGGACGUUUGAUUCUAUUUUGUUGGUUUCUAGGAUCGACGUAAUGAUUAAUAGGGAUAGUUGGGGGGCAUUAGUAUUCAAUUGUCAGAGGUGAAAUUCUUGGAUUUAUUGAAGACUAACUACUGCGAAAGCAUUUGCCAAGGAUGUUUUCAUUAAUCAAGAACGAAAGUUAGGGGAUCGAAGACGAUCAGAUACCGUCGUAGUCUUAACCAUAAACUAUGCCGACUAGGGAUCGGAUGAUGUUAAUUUUUUCAAUGACUCAUUCGGCGCCUU